RNAcentral lists this transfer RNA (74 nucleotides) under Pseudomonadales bacterium. Its description in RNAcentral is "tRNA-Ile". It matches the Rfam family "tRNA". From Rfam's summary of the family: Transfer RNA (tRNA) molecules are approximately 80 nucleotides in length. Their secondary structure includes four short double-helical elements and three loops (D, anti-codon, and T loops). RNAcentral also lists the same sequence under 1 other name. Lineage: Bacteria; Pseudomonadati; Pseudomonadota; Gammaproteobacteria; Pseudomonadales. The record is from RNAcentral.
GCGUCUAUAGCUCAAUUGGUGAGAGCACCAAGCUUAUACCUUGGGGGUUCUAGGUUCGAGUCCUAGUAGACGCA